This is a long non-coding RNA of Panicum virgatum (switchgrass), 2601 nucleotides long. RefSeq lists it as uncharacterized. The record is from RefSeq and is a predicted model, not a curated record. NCBI's taxonomy places the organism in Eukaryota, Viridiplantae, Streptophyta, Magnoliopsida, Poales, Poaceae. The transcript is spliced from 5 exons.
UGAUAGGAUCAUAUUUUUCUAUGCUAACGAUGGGUAAAAAAGAAACUUUCAUUCAGAUAGGAUCAUCUUUUUCUUCGGGUUCUUUUUCAGAAGUGCUCAACAUAACCUUAUCAAGCUUAUUUAGUAUACUGUGGAUGUUCUUGAAGCAAUGACAGGUUGAAGCAAUGGCCUACAUGGUUAUAUGCCUUUCACUAGCUUCAUUAGACAAUGGAAGAUAUUGUAAGUUUCUAUUUCUGCUUGAUUCUCUUUCAGUUCCUGGGUCAAUAAGUGAUUAAUAUAAUCAUCUGUAAAUAGUAAGUGUUUGAAGGUAUUUGUUGCAAAAGAUAGAUAGUUUUUCACUAGCCUUGAUCUGCCAAUAAAUUGUGCAAAGCUUGAGGAUUCAUAUAGUGUCCAUGAGACCAUGAUUGAUUAUUUAUAAGAUAUGCCAUUAUCAAUUUACAGGGCCAUUUACCAUUGUGUUGAAGUCCAGCAGACCUGAUGAGAGAAUGUUUUCUUUUAGGCAUAAUAUGGUCAACGAAAUUCCUCUUAUGCAUUGAUUCUAUUAUGUCUGUCCUUGGUGUUUGGUUUAUGCAUCAGCACUGCAAACGGAAACGUAAUAAGGUCGCUGUGUGUUCGCUCUCGUAAUGGCCUUAACUCCCUUCUUGAGAGGAGCUUGUGGUUUAAAUGUCCUGUGAAUAGGAGUUGUUUACAUCGAGUUUUGGUAGAUUGAUGCAGUGCUGGGUCUGCUAUUCAUGUCCUGCUGGGCUCUGAAAUUUUCAGCAACUUCACCUCUAUAUCAUGUGAUGCGCGUUCAUUUCUGUUGACCUCUGCACUGCAAUUCUAUUUAUCGAUUCAGUGUAACUGCAGCUAGCUCUUUUUUUGAAUUACCCUGCUAAUUAUCUGUGCCAGAUCUCUUGUAGUUUGCUAAGCAAGUAUAUGAAUAUUUAUAUUUAAAAUAUUUAUUAUCUAAGAUUAUAUGAUGCAUAUGUGGUGUUAUGGUCAAUAUUUUUUAAUUUUUCCCAAAAUUGUAGAAAGUUUUUUGAUAAUGUGGAUGGUUAAGAAUAAGGUUCCUGGAAUUUAACUUGCAGAAAUGACACAUAACUAUGCUUUGGCAAAAGGUGAGAACGACAAUUUCUGAUAGAACUAGCUGGUCCGCUUGGUGUUUGGUGAAGAUAAACAACCAUAAGGUAGUAAGGUACAUGACUAUGCUUCUAUUAUUAUUUUUUUUAAAAUACAUUUCCCCUACAUCAUGCCGUCAAUAUAAUCUGCAGCAUUAAGAUUAUAUUUUUGGUAAUUAUUUUCUCAUAUUCCUUUAUGCGUCAAUAUAACUUGCUCUUCAGUUGUGUUUCCUUCUCAGUUCUAUUGUCACAUCUUCUGAUCUGUCAGUAGCUCCACCAUAUUUUUCCUGUUACUCUACUUAAGCAGCUUCAUUGCUUGGUUGCACAUUGAAUGUCCUGACAAAUGGGAGCAUUGCUAGCAGAUUUCUCCUCUGGAUAACCAUACCAAACAUGAGGGAAUCGCCUUCAACACAAGGGGAGCCAUCUACGUCUGCUACAGUUUGUUGAAUUUCCAAAUUUUCCCUGCUGUUAUCCCAUGCACUGAAUUGCCUUAACUUCGUUCAACUCUUAUCCCUUGGUCAGGCAGAUUGCAGUGGAAGCCCCUCUCAAGAAAACACAGGUCAAAUGGUGCCUUCACAUGUUUUUCAGAAUAGAGCUUUGCUGUUUCAAGGCCUUGUAGAGCGUGCACAGAAACUGUUCGGGAUCAAAGCUUUUUUUUUUUGAAGAAAUGGGUCAAAGCUUACCUACAAUUGAGGAUGGGACAGCCGGAUUCUUGGAGAUCUUGGACUCUGUGUGGUCAGCAAAAGCACCAAAAUGAAUGUCGUUGCGGAUGAUUUGUAAAAAUGCUUUCAAUGAAAGAUGUUAUCUGAACUGUCUCAUGUGAACCGUCUCACUGCUCUUCAGAAAAAAUGAGCAAAAGCUACCUGAUUCAGUUGUUUACUUGUUGGUUCCAGGCCAGUUGGUUACCACGCGGAUUGUGAGCUAUCAGUUUCCAACUUUUUUAUGCUAACAUUUUUAUAGGUCUGUUUAGUAACCAUGGAUACUUCUCCAAGAUGGGUCUAGCUUGUCAUAUUGCCAAAGUUCAUACUGAGUCUUCAUUGAGUAAAAACACAGAAGAUAAAGGAAUACAUAGAAGAAAUAUUUUGGGGUCAAGGAAAACGAGCGCUACUUCUCGGUCAUAGCAAGAGCAGUGUAGAUUCGGCUGCAGUACUCGUCGUAUUAGGCACGUGCAACUGACUAUCCAAUUUGUGUAUUGCGAGACCACAGCAUUGUUACAAGGUUUCCUCAACUCCAAGUGUGCAUGGUCAAUUUGCAAUGAGGAGUUGGAUUCAUCAGGCGAUGACGUGUUAUACCUGCCGAAGUGUAUCCAUAGGUUUCACAUCUAUUGCAUCAUCAAAUGGUUCAGACAAUCGGCUACAUGCCCAGUGUGCCGUCAUGAUUAUUCAAAUUUUAUUUCUGAAGAUUACAUGCUUAUGUGUGAGAGAAUGUUGACUAACCAUGUGAACGACAAUCAGUAGAUGAACCAACUUUUUGCCCCAUUGUAAUAAGCACUGUAAUUUUCAUA